GGUUGUGUAGUGUAGUGGUGAUGUAUGUUCUUUCUAUUCUGCCUUAUUCAGAUUCAGGUGUACUAACUAGCAUCAGCACACCGGAUUUUGAGGAAUGACAAAAUCUUCCGGUAACCCCGGUUCGAUCCCGGGCACGACCU
Non-coding RNA from Verruconis gallopava, 140 nucleotides. NCBI's taxonomy places the organism in Eukaryota, Fungi, Ascomycota, Dothideomycetes, Venturiales, Sympoventuriaceae. The record is from the annotation of a RefSeq genome assembly.